RNAcentral lists this small RNA (487 nucleotides) under Drosophila mojavensis. RNAcentral's name for it is "GI26333". Lineage: Eukaryota; Metazoa; Arthropoda; Insecta; Diptera; Drosophilidae. The record is from RNAcentral.
CAAACUAAGCCCCCAAGCUAACAGCUAAAGGGCAGCUCAUACUGCGCACUGGGAAACGUAACAACCAUACAUUACCAACCCCGCAAUGCUGUUACUAAAGAUAUUAAUGCUGCUGGUUGCUGGCCAAUUCUAUUUCCAAUGUGAUGCAUCCUGGAAAAUGUAUGUGAGUGGCGAUCGGCCGUGGCAUGUGCGAGCCCACAACAUGCAUCGACCUGCAGCAGAGUACACUACCACGGCAUGAGUGAAGAAGACCCCUUGGAUUUAUGAUGAAAAUAAAGCAUUUGCUAUAUUUCCUCCAUAUUCGUUUAUAGAUUUCGAGCAUUUCAGGUUUGGCAGCGGCCAUUAUUUAAUUUCAACUAUUCUUUUUGUUUCUGGCCGCUUAAAUAUACAUAGCGCCCCUGACUUUAUGCUUAAUUACUUUCAAGUUGGAAUUGCCGUGGACUGCAUUUAGUUCUUCCAUUUGUUGUUCUCGUAGUCCCACUUGGAG